AUUUGGCGCGCCAAGAGCAGGCAUUGUGGGCGCUACUAAGUGGAAAUAUUCUGUGCGUGGGGGGUGGAUGAGGCCGUAGCGGAGACGUGCUCUAGCUGUCAUGGCGAAUUGGCCGAUUGUGGCGCUUCGCCUGUAAAGCGGUGGCCUGGCGCUCGCUUGAUCUGGGCCAGUGGUUUCCAACUGGGGAGCGGCUCAGGUUUGUUGCCGGUGUCUGGAAGAGCGGCAGCGUGGCGGCCUAAGUUAAGACAGCGGCCUCUGUUGAUAUGCUCUGCCGAGUGCUGAUGCGCUGGACGUCAGCUUGGAGUUUACAAGAGGAGCCGUGUCAUCCUCAUGGAAAUUUGCUGUUUGGACAUAGUUACAGCGAUUGGAUGUGCCAAUGCUAAAGUCGUGAGAUGCUGCAGGUAAGACAGCUUUGGUAUAUAUAGGAGUUGCUCAAGAACUGAUUUGAUGAUGGGAUAAUUGUCAAUGACGUAUUCGAUACUGAAACUUCUGCGCAUGCUCCUCCCGAAAUUUGUUUACAAAACAUCACUUUGAGA
Molecule: non-coding RNA, 536 nt
Organism: Danio rerio (zebrafish)
Lineage: Eukaryota; Metazoa; Chordata; Actinopteri; Cypriniformes; Danionidae
Source: Ensembl